Molecule: long non-coding RNA, 2054 nt
Organism: Gymnogyps californianus (California condor)
Lineage: Eukaryota; Metazoa; Chordata; Aves; Accipitriformes; Cathartidae
Exons: 4
Source: RefSeq, a predicted model, not a curated record
CUGUGGAGAGAGGGAAGCAGUGAACACGUUGAAGACCUCUAGCUGACACUGCAGGCAAGAAGGGACCAGGGAAGGCAGUGCUGUGGCUUCCACUUCUGUCUCCCUCAUCUGCAAGGAGAUCCAAAGCAGAUGAGCUGCUGCUGCUUCUUCUGACCUACCGAACUACAUUCAAUCCAGAUGAGAAACAGAAGAACACGGAGGUUUUGCAAUUUGAGCUGAGCCAUGCAGGAGCUCUUUGGCAGAAGAGGCAGCCUCCUGAGGGAUCUAAUCACAGUUUACAAGACCAUAUGCCAGUUCCCAGUGGUGUCCAUAGUGAACAGCAGGACACCAGUAAUUUUCCAGAUGUGGCUUCACUCCUAGAAGAACAAAACCAGUGAGAAGAACUGGAGUGACCCAGCACUGGGGGAGCCUCUGAACUCCUCUACAUCUUUUGUCUGGGGUGCCCUCAUGAAUAGUUUGGUUGUUGCCUGGUAACAGUGGCAUAAAUUCUUCUACAGUGCGACAGAGCCCGCAAGAGAGAAGGAGAAACUCAGAGAGGGAUCAUAGGAUCCAAUUUUAUGGAAAUCUCUUCAUAAAACAGGGCCGACAUGUACAUUCCAUGAUAUUUAUCCUAGAUACCUGAUGAGUAUUUGCGGUCACAUCAGUAGUGGGGGAGAGGAGAAGGAUAUUGGGUGCCAACAGGGCAUUACUACCUUGUGAAACGCGCUAGUGCAGAGAAGAUCACGGUCUCAACUUCUGCCCUAAGCUUCCUGUAACUUCUGCGAACACUUGCAUAUUUAGCCCUCUUUGGUCAGAUCCUUCCAUCAUCCGCCCUUGGGUCUCGGUAUUGCCCCAAUUGCGCUGCAGCAGAAGCACUUUCCAGGUCAGAGUACGCCAGCAAUGGGAGAGUUCGCGGGGGACUAUGUGGAAUCACCGGAUCUUCUCCCGUUUUCGUUUAGAGAGUCGUGGCUGCAGAUGCCUUUCUUUUAGAGGAGUGGACUUAAGAGGAAAAGAUAUCCUGAUGAAGGUAAAAAAAUGAUGUUAAACAGGAAAGGAAUCUGUGGAAUCAUUUGAUCUCUUCUGGAGGUUGUUCUUGCAGCUUAACGCCCUUGCUCCAGGUUGCUCUUUACCUCUGUCUUGUGUGCUUUGUCCCAUGCUUUGUGAUUGACGUUAGCUUGGGGAAAGGAAUUGUCACGGUCUGUUGAUGACACAGCGGUUUCUGAUGUCACCCGUAACUGAUUCAUAGCUUACUUUGGAAGAUUAGGGAACAGACUAAGAUCCACCAGAAGAAGUGAAGUGCUUGCACAAUAGCUUCAACUACGUAGGCUCGAGCUGACGUCUAGGCAUUGCUUGCACCUUAGGUCGCAGUGAACAUACUGUCAUUUCCACAAAAAAAGCAUAGAUCGUGACAGCCAAAUCUUUACGUGGGAGGAAGGAGUGGAGUUUCCUAAUGAGCUGGAGACAGAAGGAGGAAAUUUUAGUCACUGACUGUUCAUCUCAGAGCAAUGAUGCAUCAGAAGACACUGAGGCCUUGCUUUGCUUAGCCAAACGAGCACUGCCUGCCCUCGCUGCCGAGCACGACGGGAGCUGCUGAGUCAAACGAGAGUGGCUCCAGCCAGGGCUGUGCCGAGGAGGAGUGUGCUGCUAUACAUGUUACUAAGGAUUGGUUGAGAGACUUGGAGAAGAAAAGGAAAAAAGCCCUCAUGGGAGAUGGUCUAUUUUUAAUGAGCCCAAACCUCUUCCACAAAUUAAGUGAAAUAUUUUAAAAGGAAACAAUAUUACUUUGGUUUUAUUUGUUUCAGCUACUUAGUUACAGCUCCACGUGGACACAAUUAAUGGAGGAAAUAGAGUAUUUUAUAAGCCCAGGACUCUGAGAUAGAUAUUUUGUGACCAUGUGAAAUUCUUUGCCCUAAUCACCACACAUUCCUUGGGAGAAGGUUGUAUAUUGCUGAAGAUUAUUAACCUCAGUUUCAAAAAUGUUGUGUCUAGUCAUUGAAUGGCAAAGGUUAAAAAUUGUUAUGGCAUUACUCGGUGAUGAAUUUUGUCCUCCAUUUUUCAUUAAAGUCCCUGCUGUC